RNAcentral lists this ribosomal RNA (1374 nucleotides) under uncultured bacterium. RNAcentral's name for it is "bacterial SSU rRNA". It matches the Rfam family "Bacterial small subunit ribosomal RNA", at positions 91 to 1461 of the family's 1533-position model. The record is from RNAcentral.
ACGAGCGGCGGACGGGUGAGUAAUACUUGGGGAUCUGCCUGAUGGCGGGGGACAACCACUGGAAACGGUGGCUAAUACCGCAUAAUGCCUACGGGCCAAAGUGUGGGACCUUCGGGCCACAUGCCAUCAGAUGAACCCAAGCGAGAUUAGCUAGUUGGUGAGGUAACGGCUCACCAAGGCGACGAUCUCUAGCUGGUCUGAGAGGAUGAUCAGCCACACUGGGACUGAGACACGGUCCAGACUCCUACGGGAGGCAGCAGUGGGGAAUAUUGGACAAUGGGCGCAAGCCUGAUCCAGCCAUGCCGCGUGUGUGAAGAAGGCCUUCGGGUUGUAAAGCACUUUCAGUGGUGAGGAAGGCCUUGUAGUUAAUAGCUGCAAGGAUUGACGUUAGCCACAGAAGAAGCACCGGCUAACUCCGUGCCAGCAGCCGCGGUAAUACGGAGGGUGCGAGCGUUAAUCGGAAUUACUGGGCGUAAAGCGCACGUAGGCGGUUUGUUAAGCAAGAUGUGAAAGCCCAGGGCUCAACCUUGGAAUUGCAUUUUGAACUGGCAAGCUAGAGUUUUGAAGAGGGUGGUAGAAUUUCCAGUGUAGCGGUGAAAUGCGUAGAUAUUGGAAGGAAUACCAGUGGCGAAGGCGGCCACCUGGUCAAAAACUGACGCUGAGGAGCGAAAGCGUGGGGAGCAAACAGGAUUAGAUACCCUGGUAGUCCACGCCGUAAACGAUGUCAACUAGUUGUUCGUGUCUUUGAGACGUGAGUAACGCAGCUAACGCACUAAGUUGACCGCCUGGGGAGUACGGCCGCAAGGUUAAAACUCAAAUGAAUUGACGGGGGCCCGCACAAGCGGUGGAGCAUGUGGUUUAAUUCGAUGCAACGCGAAGAACCUUACCAUCCCUUGACAUCCAGAGAAUUUUCUAGAGAUAGAUUAGUGCCUUCGGGAGCUCUGAGACAGGCGCUGCAUGGCUGUCGUCAGCUCGUGUUGUGAGAUGUUGGGUUAAGUCCCGCAACGAGCGCAACCCUUAUCCUUAGUUGCCAGCACGUAAUGGUGGGAACUCUAGGGAGACUGCCGGUGAUAAACCGGAGGAAGGUGGGGACGACGUCAAGUCAUCAUGGCCCUUACGGGAUGGGCUACACACGUGCUACAAUGGCGCGCACAAAGGGCAGCAAGCAUGCGAAUGCAAGCGAAUCUCAAAAAGCGCGUCGUAGUCCGGAUUGGAGUCUGCAACUCGACUCCAUGAAGUCGGAAUCGCUAGUAAUCGUGGAUCAGAAUGCCACGGUGAAUACGUUCCCGGGCCUUGUACACACCGCCCGUCACACCAUGGGAGUGGGCUGCACCAGAAGUAGAUAGCUUAACCCUCGGGAGAGCGUUUACCACG